CGACAAACAACAAUAGCCUCCGGGAACUUAAUUGGGUAUUUAAAAGGGUUAGGGACUAAAGUGUCCAUCACAAAAAUCAUUGGAGACCGAAUUGGAUAAUUAUUCAAUUUUUUUCUAAACACCCUCCAUGCGAUGCCAUUUUAUUAUGAAUGAAAAAAACCUAAUUCAACAGCACCCCGAAACCAUCCCCAACCUCACCUCACUCUGAGACACGCUCUCACCUCUCUCACUCACCUCACCGUCGCUGCCGGUCGUCACUCGCCGCCGAAGCUCCGCUCUCUUGAAUGAUAAGUAUUUGCCUAGACAUUUUUUAUGGUUUGGAGCAUGGUUCUGAAAAUUGAACCGAAUCGGCCAGUUCAACCGGAAAAAUCAGGAACCGGUCACCUAAUUGGUCCGGAUAAGGUCAGAAAUCAGCUAGUAAAAAAUCGGUGAAAAAACCGGUCAAACCGGCAGUUAACCGAUGAACCAGGAGAACCGUCCGAUUUUUUCACGGUUUAUUGGUUUGAAAAUUAAACUUCAAAACGGCGUCGUUUUGAAGAAAAAAAAAA
Non-coding RNA from Arachis ipaensis, 548 nucleotides. The record is from RefSeq and is a predicted model, not a curated record. Lineage: Eukaryota; Viridiplantae; Streptophyta; Magnoliopsida; Fabales; Fabaceae.